AGUCAUUACAGUUCAAUCACAAAAAGUCAGAUUUAAAAGUAAUUGGUUUGAAGGUAUCCUCACAUUUAUGAAGGAGGUGAUUCUCUGUUUAUAGAAUUCCUUCGGCUGGGAUCGCAAUCAUUCUGUCACCACAUGUUUGACUUUGUCCAAUUGAAAACAUCUGCCUUUCAUAUCCUCCUUCAGCAGACCAAACAAAUGAAAUUUCAUGGCAAUAAGUUCAUAAAACAAACAGCACAGGUUGCAAGCAUAACACAGGUUUAUUUUGUAAAUGGAGCCCAGCUCGUUAAACCUCUCCAAGGCACUUUCGGGCUCACCACUAUGAAGGCUAUGCAUUUAAUCAGAAUGAAACAGUCCCAUGAUGUAAUCAACAAUCACGACCCAUUUGUUACCACCAGCAUGGAAGUGGUGUGCAGCCAAUGAAAUCUAGAGAGAAAGGGCCCUAUCAACUUAUGAUGUAGCCUAUAUCAAGUUCUCUUGGCCCUUAGGCCCCAUCUUCUUACGGAAUGAUUUUUAGUAUCCUGGAAAAUGUUGCUAUC
RNAcentral lists this long non-coding RNA (536 nucleotides) under Androctonus crassicauda. Lineage: Eukaryota; Metazoa; Arthropoda; Arachnida; Scorpiones; Buthidae. The record is from RNAcentral.